Xenia sp. Carnegie-2017 is the source of this 306-nucleotide long non-coding RNA. RefSeq lists it as uncharacterized. Lineage: Eukaryota; Metazoa; Cnidaria; Anthozoa; Malacalcyonacea; Xeniidae. The record is from RefSeq and is a predicted model, not a curated record. The transcript is spliced from 2 exons.
CAUCAUGCAUAAAAUGCUUUCUGAUACGUAGAUGAACACUCGUAUUUACUAAUUAGCAGACCUGUAUAUAUUAUAUAUUACAGAUAAACUUCAAAAAUACUUAUCUUCCAUCUAGCAAUCCAGUAUCAGACUCUCUUAAACUAUUUGCUGAAAAUGAAAUGAUGCUUACCGUAUCAUGGCAAUGAUAGCGAGACGAAACUUGGCGUAAGUUAUUUCCUUUGGGAAAUUCAAAUUACCCGAAGACACUUGCCUUUGUACAUAUGCAACAUAAUAUUUGUACAUAGGUAAACUGAACAAGAAUAAAAA